RNAcentral lists this ribosomal RNA (253 nucleotides) under uncultured bacterium. RNAcentral describes it as "partial 16S ribosomal RNA". It matches the Rfam family "Bacterial small subunit ribosomal RNA", at positions 524 to 776 of the family's 1533-position model. The record is from RNAcentral.
UACGGGGGGGGCAAGCGUUGUUCGGAAUUACUGGGCGUAAAGGGCUCGUAGGUGGCCAACUAAGUCAGACGUGAAAUCCCUCGGCUUAACCGGGGAACUGCGUCCGAUACUGGAUGGCUUGAGUUUGGGAGAGGGAUGCGGAAUUCCAGGUGUAGCGGUGAAAUGCGUAGAUAUCUGGAGGAACACCGGUGGCGAAGGCGGCAUCCUGGACCAAUACUGACGCUGAGGAGCGAAAGCCAGGGGAGCAAACGGG